GUUCUUUGUACAACACGGGUUGCUAAUUAAUGUAUUAUGUAAUCCAAAAAAAAAAAAAAAAACAGAAAGAUAAAUGCAGAUUAAAAUAUUGAAGUAUUUGUUAAUCGACAGACUUCUUCACUCGAGUGAAGGAAUUGCAGUAUAUAUAUAUAUAUUUAAAAAAUGCAAAAAAAAUCAAUAUCAAUUUAUCAUUUGUCAAAACCAAUGGCUAUAUUUACCAUUGUCUUUCCAAAUGUGGCCUAAGAUGUUGGUUGGGUUUGGUAUGUUACCAAUUGUUGAGUUUCCUACUGUUAAAAAAUACACAGCGGUCAGUAAAAUGUCUUCUGGCAAGAGCACUUGAGUUGUUUUUCUUUCUUAUUUCUACACCAGUUUGUCAAUACGUAAUGUUUUCAUAAUAUAUUACUGAAAUUUUCUAGUAAAAAUCAGCGAGUAAUUAAUAAAAUUAUUUACGGUAGAACUUUAGAUGUUUUCAUCAUAUUCGCCUGAUUCAUUAAUGUAAUAAUUCAUGAAGAAACUUUUAAUGCCAAGUCGAUUAAAUUCAAAUUUGCUGAUUAAUAUUAGACGU
This 565-nucleotide long non-coding RNA is filed under the name Androctonus crassicauda. Lineage: Eukaryota; Metazoa; Arthropoda; Arachnida; Scorpiones; Buthidae. The record is from RNAcentral.